This is a long non-coding RNA of Oryza sativa Japonica Group (Japanese rice), 1633 nucleotides long. RefSeq lists it as uncharacterized. The record is from RefSeq and is a predicted model, not a curated record. Lineage: Eukaryota; Viridiplantae; Streptophyta; Magnoliopsida; Poales; Poaceae.
CCGAGCCGUCCCGAGCCUGUGCAGCCGUGCCGCCUCCUCCCACUAAUCCGGCCACCUCGUUGCCCCUUUUUCCAAAUUAGUUGUGGGAAUGGAAUCCUCUCAAUCUCCUCUUCCUUUUCCCCAAGAAAUCCCACAAGUUUCUAUGGAAAUCCUUUCCAAUUUCGCGGAUCAAUCUUUCCUUUUUCCGGCGAAGAUCCUAAACUUUCCCGAGUUUUUCCCGUCGACGUGGGCUCGAUCCCUGGGCUCCCAUGGCUAUAUAUAGAGCCCGCUCCUUCUCCUCUUUCGGCCGCCACCUCUCCCUAUCUCCACCGUCGCCGGAAACACUCUCCCCGCGAGCUCCCUCUCUCUCCACCUCCGGCCGCCGCUCCAGCCGCCGUGCGCCAUCGCCCCGACCGUCGCCGGUCAGCGCGACCACCUCCCUCGGCUCCGCAAAGUCGAGCUCCACCCCGGCCAUUGGUUCCUUUGUGCCAAAUCCCGCCGGAAGCCGCUUGCCGACGCGAACCAGAAGGUUUCGGCCUUUGCUGCGCCUCCAGCCGCAGCUAGCAGCCGCCUUAGCCGCCUCUUUCGGUCGCCGUCGACUCCAUUGGGUUCGCAGGAGCAAGGUGAAGCCCGGCCACCGGUUUUUCUUUGCCAAAGAUUGCAGAAACGUCGCUGCCGUCGCUGACCCGUCCCCGUCGCCGCCUCUACCUCGCUGCCGGCCGUCUGCCGUCAUCAUCCAUCGUCACGCUGCCCCUCAUGUCGUCAUCAUCUUCAUGUGUUGUCGCCGGAAAAUCAUCGCCGCCGUGGACAGUACCUCGCCGCCCUUCGAAGCUCAUCGCCGGCCAUCUUCCGUCGCUGUCCAUCGUCGCGUAAGUGUUGUGUCGUCAUCGUCUCCGUGUGUUGUCGCCGGACCGUCAUCGUCGACCCUUCCUCUCCGAUCGCUUUGGUUCGGUGAGACGUCUAUCUGUGUUCCCUCGGUUUAGUUUUUAAUCUCUCGUUUGUGUCGUCGAGUAGCCGCCGCCGUGCCACGCUUAGCUGCUGCGCCUUGCUUUCGUGCUCUGUCGUCGUUGUGUGUCGUCGUCGCUGUGCCGUUGCCCUAACCCUAGCCGCGUGCCUCCGCCGAGUCGCCGCCGCCUAGCCAAGCCAAGUCGCCCUAGUGCCGCCGUGUCGCAGCUGUGUGCCGCUUUAACCUAGCUGCCGCUUUAACCGUUGCUCGGUAGUCAAGUUGUCUAGCCGUAGGUGCAUCCCUAAAUUCCUACCGGCCUAUCGUUUGCCGUACCCGGGCUUUACCGUGAAUCGUGUCUAGCUCACCGGUUUAGUCGCAGUCGUUGUUAAGUCGUUCGCUCGUUCGUUCGAAAGAGGUGUUCCCCGUGCUUCGUUCGUUCGUCCAUGUUGAGUCGUCCUUUAGUUUAGAGCCGUUCAGAGCCGCCGGUUCCGUUCGCCGGUUUCGGUUGAUCAUUUGGGUGAUCCCGUGUCACGUAGAAUUGACUCGUUGAGUCGGUAUCUCUUGAGGCUUGCUUGCCAGAUUAAUCUAAUCCGAUCUUGGUCGACUCGGUCAAGAUUAAUCUCAGCCAUAUAAAUCCGUUCCCUCUCUUCAAUGGCAUAUUAGUUCUUUUUAUCAUAUGUCAUCUACCAAAUAUAAUCUAAUCUUUUC